ACAUUGACAUUAUAGAUCAAUAUAUAUAAUUGCAAAUUUAUAAUUUAAUAUUGCUAGUCAAAUGCCUAAUGUCAUAAUGUCUAAGAAUGUAUAUUAUAUAGGUACAUUGAUGUAUAUGAUAAUGUUAAAAAUUAAAAAUAAAUUGCCAUCAGUAUUAAAUAAUUAAAUAAAAAUGGAGGAGAGAGCAAUGCUAUGGAUGCUUUCUCUUGUUAUGUUUGUUGGAUCUUGUCUUGGAGCUGGAUCACUGCCAUUAAGUUAAAUAAAUUUAUCAGAAGAAGUAAGAUAUAGAAGUGAAGAAGAAUAUUUUAUGUAAUAUAAAAUUAUGACAAGUUACAAUUAGUUUCAAUAUUAGGAGCAGGACUCCUUGUUGGUACUGCGCUAGCGAUUAUACCUGACUGUACCUGAGGGUGUAAGAGCAUUAUUUACUGUGGAUGGUAUUAAAUAAUGAAAAAGGCAAUUUACAUACUUUAACUUGGAAUUAGUUUAGUACUUGGUUUAUGCUUUUAAUUGAUCAAUGUUCAGCCAGAAAAAGUGGAGGAAGACAAGAAAAGUAUUACAGCAACUUUAGGUCUUAUAGUAGAUGCUGCUAGUUGAUUGGCGGUGUUGCAUUGGGAGGCUGCUGCUACUACAUCUCAAGCUGAUGUCGAAGUGUCUUAGUUUUUCUUCGCAAUAAUGUUACACAAGGCGCCAGAUGCAUUUGGACUUGUGUCAAUUUCUUCUUCAUGAAGGUGUAGAUAGAAAGUAAGAAAAUAAGCAGACACUUAUUAAUUUUCUCUCUUGCGGCACCGUGUCUUGCACUUGUGACAUAUUUUGGAAUUGGAAAAGUAAUGUGAGUGAGUAAUAGUAUAUGGAAUGUAUCGCAAGAUGUGUACACAUACAGUUACACCCCAUAUGCGCACUAUACUUGUUUCUUUUGCUGUAUACAUAUGCGUAUUGUUUAAUAGAAACAUUUAUUAUCUGAAAGGAAAAAAUGUUCCUGCUGAUGCACAAAAGCGUAACGUCAUAUACUGAUAUAUCUAAACACUUAUGAUACUUGCCCUACAGAAUGACAUAAUUUAGAUAAGGAAAAUAC
Camponotus floridanus (Florida carpenter ant) is the source of this 1072-nucleotide long non-coding RNA. RefSeq lists it as uncharacterized. The transcript is spliced from 5 exons. NCBI's taxonomy places the organism in Eukaryota, Metazoa, Arthropoda, Insecta, Hymenoptera, Formicidae. The record is from RefSeq and is a predicted model, not a curated record.